GACGAACGCUGGCGGCGUGCUUAACACAUGCAAGUCGAACGGAAAGGCCCUGCUUUUGUGGGGUGCUCGAGUGGCGAACGGGUGAGUAACACGUGAGUAACCUGCCCUUGACUUUGGGAUAACUUCAGGAAACUGGGGCUAAUACCGGAUAGGAGCUCCUGCUGCAUGGUGGGGGUUGGAAAGUUUCGGCGGUUGGGGAUGGACUCGCGGCUUAUCAGCUUGUUGGUGGGGUAGUGGCUUACCAAGGCUUUGACUGGUAGCCGGCCUGAGAGGGUGACCGGCCACAUUGGGACUGAGAUACGGCCCAGACUCCUACGGGAGGCAGCAGUGGGGAAUAUUGCACAAUGGGCGGAAGCCUGAUGCAGCAACGCCGCGUGCGGGAUGACGACCUUCGGGUUGUAAACCGCUUUCGCCUGUGACGAAGCGUGAGUGACGGUAAUGGGUAAAGAAGCACCGGCUAACUACGUG
RNAcentral lists this ribosomal RNA (468 nucleotides) under uncultured bacterium. Its description in RNAcentral is "partial 16S ribosomal RNA". It matches the Rfam family "Bacterial small subunit ribosomal RNA", at positions 28 to 507 of the family's 1533-position model. The record is from RNAcentral.